GCGGAAAUAGCUCAGUUGGUAGAGCGUAACCUUGCCAAGGUUAAGGUCGCCGGUUCGAGACCGGUUUUCCGCUCCA
RNAcentral lists this transfer RNA (76 nucleotides) under Sphingobacteriaceae bacterium. Its description in RNAcentral is "tRNA-Gly". It matches the Rfam family "tRNA". Rfam says of the family: Transfer RNA (tRNA) molecules are approximately 80 nucleotides in length. Their secondary structure includes four short double-helical elements and three loops (D, anti-codon, and T loops). The record is from RNAcentral. Lineage: Bacteria; Pseudomonadati; Bacteroidota; Sphingobacteriia; Sphingobacteriales; Sphingobacteriaceae.